GAUGAACGCUGGCGGCGUGCCUAAUACAUGCAAGUCGAGCGAACAGACGAGGAGCUUGCUCCUCUGACGUUAGCGGCGGACGGGUGAGUAACACGUGGAUAACCUACCUAUAAGACUGGGAUAACUUCGGGAAACCGGAGCUAAUACCGGAUAAUAUAUUGAACCGCAUGGUUCAAUAGUGAAAGACGGUUUUGCUGUCACUUAUAGAUUGAUCCGCGCCGCAUUAGCUAGUUGGUAAGGUAACGGCUUACCAAGGCAACGAUGCGUAGCCGACCUGAGAGGGUGAUCCGCCACACUGGAACUGAGACACGGUCCAGACUCCUACGGGAGGCAGCAGUAGGGAAUCUUCCGCAAUGGGCGAAAGCCUGACGGAGCAACGCCGCGUGAGUGAUGAAGGUCUUCGGAUCGUAAAACUCUGUUAUUAGGGAAGAACAAAUGUGUAAGUAACUAUGCACGUCUUGACGGUACCUAAUCAGAAAGCCACGGCUAACUACGUG
This 497-nucleotide ribosomal RNA is filed under the name uncultured bacterium. RNAcentral's name for it is "partial 16S ribosomal RNA". It matches the Rfam family "Bacterial small subunit ribosomal RNA", at positions 28 to 507 of the family's 1533-position model. The record is from RNAcentral.